GUGUGUACUGUGUAGUUGUACCUUUGCCUUGCGAUGUACGAAUCAUUUCAUUUGUAUACAAACCUGUUUUAUAUGUGAAUGAUGUUGGAUAUUAAGCGUAAAAAAUGUCAAAACGGAAGUCUGCGGUGACUCUAAGUAAUGUUGUUGGUGUCGUAAAAGAGGUUCACUACCCCGGAAAAGCGAUAGUAACGUUUCGGUUUGAUGGGCAAGAAGAACGCGCUCUUCUUUACGGCGAGAAAUUGCUUGUAGAUGGAAAAAGUGAAUCUGAUAGGCAAACACUGUACGAAUUCGUUGCGCAAGGAUCUGUGCUGAAGUUCACAUGUCAUUCGUUCAGUAAUAACGGUGAAGAUCGUUGUAACUGGUUUAUAACCUGUGCUUGGCGCCUGCAUACUUACGACCUAGGUAGUCCUGCUGGUACGACCACAGUGAAUGUGAUAUUCGGAUUGAACAGUACAUUGGGUACUGUUGUUGAAGUGACUGCGAGACACUGUGUACUUUCGUUCAUCAAUUAUAAAGGUGAAGAGGAAAACGUCCUUGCAUUGGCAAGCAGAAUUUUUGUGGGAGGUCAUCGAGUGAGCUCCAAGCAAAGCCUGCAGUCUGUUCUGCAUGUGGAUGAUGCAGUCACAUUUGAUGCAACUCCCUGUGAGCCAGAAGAAAUUCCAAGCAAUUGCAAGUGGUUUGCAACAGUGAUGUGGCGUGGACGUAGGCCUUUGCAAGAUUAUGACAGUGCUUUGGAAAUACCUCAGCACUUGAAUAGAAGUAAUCUACUUGGCUUUAUAAAGCAGGCUGCCUUCAACCCUAAAUCACCUUUUAUCAAAGGGUAUGGUCGCAUCAUUGAAAUACUUAAUGAAGAAUAUGGAUUGGCACUGAUAUCUCUGCGUCAUAAUCAUUGGGAGAGUAUGCUUUUUCAUCGUAGUGUUGCUUUCCUUUUUGGCUUGAAACUAACAACACACAACCUUCAAGAAAUCUUCAAAGAAGGUGACCAGAUUCGUUUUAUUGCUGUGCCAGCACCAACUAAAAAACUUAUGACCCUUUGGCUGGCAACACAGAUUAGUGUAGCAGUUGGUUCCACACUGUUGGAGGGUGAUCUCCCUCCAAUUAAAUGGUCCGAAGUGUGUAACAAGAAGAUCGUAGACAUGGCGGUCGAACGGCACCAACAAGUGUUUGCCAGUCACGCCAUGGAAGCCGUAGUGAAAAAACAAGGAGUGUUUAUGUAUUCUGUGCUGUUUUAUAACUUUGAAUAUUGUAGUGGUAAAAAAGAACAGUUGAAAUAUUGUUAAUUAUUGUUUAUUUUGGACAUGGAGAGGGUAAGACAUGUUUUCAGAUUCAGAAUGAGAAUGGACUUGGGUUUUAAAUCAACCAUUUCUUAUGUGUAAAUGAACUCUGUUUUUAAGGUUUGGACACACGAAGAGACUUACUUGAUAGUGGUUGUUUACGUGGAGAAUGAGUUUUCUAAAAGUUUAAUGUUCAAAUAUAUGUUGUGAAGUUAAGCAAAAGAAACUGUAUAUGUAUGCUUAUUUUUAUAAGUAGAAAGAGUCUCAAGAAAUUCCUGUUCCUAGCGAUAUACUUCGGAGAAGAAGAGAAAAGGAGGUUGCAGCAGCAAGCUAACCAGCAACGAAUGUCGGCUGACCAUCUCGAGUAAGUCUAUCGUUUAAGAAGUGGGAUUUUGCACACAUACUUCACCACCUUAAGUCGUCCAAAGUGUUAGAAUGUAGCAACCAUGAUAGGACAGAAGAAAACAGGAAUUCUGAGAUGAAAAUGAGAUAAGAAGAUGUUAGGUGUUGUCAUAAAACCGAGCAUAACAAGACAAAAGAACUAGUUCAUGUAAUUGGAUUCUGCCUAAAAAUUCAAAUGGUGAAAAUUAGUAAAUGCAAAACAGGGAAGAUGUAAGAAAGUACUAGUGUUAAAAUAAAUGAGAGAAGAUCUCAACAUAUUAGACUAAGAAGAGAGACGCCGAGAACAAUUCGACUGAGAAAAUCUGGUGUAAGGAGUAUACUGCUUUCACACAUUGUGAGUAAGCAGAUGCAGAAACCAGCAUCUGAUGCCGCAGGCACCAGUUGCUGUCCACCGGUGCUAACCUGCUUCCACAUCCACUCACCAACGCGUACAUAGAAACCAACAACCGAUGCCACUGGCACCAGUUACUGUUCACCGAUGCUGUUUACACAUCCGCUUGCUGAUGCGGCCUAAACUUUGUCAGGUCCGAAGUGUGUAACAAGAAGACCGUAGACAUGGCGGUCGAACGGCACCAACAAGUGUUUGCCAGUCACA
Schistocerca gregaria is the source of this 2271-nucleotide RNA transcript. RefSeq lists it as uncharacterized. Lineage: Eukaryota; Metazoa; Arthropoda; Insecta; Orthoptera; Acrididae. The record is from RefSeq and is a predicted model, not a curated record. The transcript is spliced from 6 exons.